This 292-nucleotide ribosomal RNA is filed under the name uncultured Bacteroidota bacterium. RNAcentral's name for it is "uncultured Bacteroidetes bacterium partial 16S ribosomal RNA". The record is from RNAcentral. Lineage: Bacteria; Pseudomonadati; Bacteroidota.
GGACUACCCGGGUAUCUAAUCCUGUUUGAUCCCCACGCUUUCGUGCCUCAGCGUCAAUAUUUGCUUAGUAAGCUGCCUUCGCAAUUGGUGUUCUAUGUCAUAUCUAUGCAUUUCACCGCUACAUGACAUAUUCCGCCUACCUCAACAAAAUUCAAGAUCAAUAGUAUCAAUGGCAGUUUCCAAGUUAAGCUCGGAGAUUUCACCACUGACUUAAAGACCCGCCUACACACCCUUUAAACCCAGUAAAUCCGGAUAACGCUUGCACCCUCCGUAUUACCGCGGCUGCUGGCAC